This is a long non-coding RNA of Bos taurus (domestic cattle), 856 nucleotides long. NCBI's taxonomy places the organism in Eukaryota, Metazoa, Chordata, Mammalia, Artiodactyla, Bovidae. The record is from Ensembl.
GUGCGUCCUAGGAAGCUGUUUGGUUUAGAAAAUCACAGGAGGAAGCUGAAGAGAAAACACAAACUAGAGACAAGUGGGGAAAGCUUUGCCCGGCUCUUCCCUGGAAUCCAGCUCGGCUCUGUUGGGGCUUCAAGGACGGGGGAAGAAUCGGGCAGCGGGCCUUCUCCACCUCUCCACUCGAGUCCUGCUUGGCCAGGGCUGGCCUCGGUCCUCUCCUGUCAUCUGGACAACCAGCGUCAACUUUGGCCCCACUGACAUCAUGAAAAUGAACGUGUUAGUCACUCGGUCGUGUCCGACUCUUUGCAACCCUAUGGACGUAGCCCGCCAGCCUCCUCUGUCCUUGGGAUUCUCCAGAGAACACAGCCUUGCAGAUCCAGGCCUGGACAUCUGGACCAGAUAGUGACGGGCUCACCUCCAGAUGAUGCCCGGAUAAGUUCCAGCUGUUUCGCUGAGCCUCAUGGACUGUCUUCAUUGUCAUUGUCAUCAGCAAGAUCCAGACAUGACUGCAGGCUCCUCAAUAAACACUUUCCCAGUCGGCCAGAUCGGAUUUGAAGACGCGCUCUGGGAAAAGGCUGCUGACAGGAGCCCCCGGCCAGAAUCCUCUAGUAAUGCCAGAUUCCCUUAUGAUUACUUCCUGAUUUUGUUUCAUGAAUGAAAUUAGACACGGUGUGGAAUUUCCUAAAUCACAAACACAUUUAUUCGGGGGACAGUGAUAGAAGUGUGUGUGUGAGGUGUGAGGCCCGAGUGUGCCCAGAACAGGGCGCGUGAAUCUGGUCACACAUUUGACUUUGUCACCCUGGGGUCAGCGGCCCCGCACGUGACAUGCAGGUUGGAGGGAAGUUGCCUACAAAUGAGA